AACGAACGCUGGCGGCAUGCCUAACACAUGCAAGUCGAACGAGCCCUUCGGGCCUAGUGGCGCAAGGGUGCGUAACGCGUGGUAACCUGCCCUUAGGUUCGGAAUAACUACCCGAAAGGGGUCCUAAUACCGGAUAAUGUCUUCGGACCAAAGAUUUAUCGCCUUUGGAUGGGCCCGCGUUGUAUUAGCUAGUUGGUAGGGUAAAAGCCUACCAAGGCAACGAUCCAUAGCUGGUCUGAGAGGAUGAUCAGCCACACUGGGACCGAGACACGGCCCGGACUCCUACGGGAGGCAGCAGGGGUGAAUAUUCGACAAUGGGCGAAAGCCGGAUCCAGCAAGGCCGCGUGAGUGAUGAAGGCCUUAGGGUUGUAAAGCUCUUUUACCCGGGAUGAUAAUGACAGUACCGGGAGAAUAAGCUCCGGCUAACUCCGUG
This 433-nucleotide ribosomal RNA is filed under the name uncultured bacterium. RNAcentral describes it as "partial 16S ribosomal RNA". It matches the Rfam family "Bacterial small subunit ribosomal RNA", at positions 29 to 507 of the family's 1533-position model. The record is from RNAcentral.